RNAcentral lists this non-coding RNA (31 nucleotides) under Rattus norvegicus (Norway rat). The record is from RNAcentral. Lineage: Eukaryota; Metazoa; Chordata; Mammalia; Rodentia; Muridae.
UGUCCUGCAAAAUGGUGUAAGGUCGGCCAGU